Molecule: long non-coding RNA, 304 nt
Organism: Lampris incognitus (smalleye Pacific opah)
Lineage: Eukaryota; Metazoa; Chordata; Actinopteri; Lampriformes; Lampridae
Exons: 3
Source: RefSeq, a predicted model, not a curated record
GCUCCUGACAACCAGGAGACCGGAGCAAGAAUGAUGGUGGAAGCAAGUUUCUGCGACAACAUGGCUUUCUGGGUCUGUCUGUGAGCCGGUCUGUCCUUAGCGCCCCGCAUCGGUCAUGUGAGGACGACGGAGAUCGAUUGUCACGUUCUGUCCCCAAAAAGUGCAAUAUCCGUGCCAAGCUAAACAGUGGGCGGACGAGGAGCCGUCAAAGCACCCUCGGUUGUGUGUCUCACCCGUGUGACGGAGCCGCGAGUCACUUGGUAAAGACGGCUGACGGCGUAAAUGGAGUUGACCUCUGCCAAAG